RNAcentral lists this ribosomal RNA (254 nucleotides) under uncultured bacterium. RNAcentral's name for it is "partial 16S ribosomal RNA". It matches the Rfam family "Bacterial small subunit ribosomal RNA", at positions 524 to 776 of the family's 1533-position model. The record is from RNAcentral.
UACGUAGGGACCAAGCGUUGUUCGGAUUUACUGGGCGUAAAGGGCGCGUAGGCGGCGUGACAAGUCACUUGUGAAAUCUCUGGGCUUAACCCAGAACGGCCAAGUGAAACUGUCGUGCUAGAGUGCGGAAGGGGCAAUCGGAAUUCUCGGUGUAGCGGUGAAAUGCGUAGAUAUCGAGAGGAACACCUGAGGUGAAGACGGGUUGCUGGGCCGACACUGACGCUGAGUGCGCGAAAGCGUGGGGAGCGAACAGG